RNAcentral lists this RNase P RNA (414 nucleotides) under Propionibacteriaceae bacterium. Its description in RNAcentral is "RNase P RNA component class A". It matches the Rfam family "Bacterial RNase P class A". Rfam says of the family: Ribonuclease P (RNase P) is a ubiquitous endoribonuclease, found in archaea, bacteria and eukarya as well as chloroplasts and mitochondria. Its best characterised activity is the generation of mature 5'-ends of tRNAs by cleaving the 5'-leader elements of precursor-tRNAs. Lineage: Bacteria; Bacillati; Actinomycetota; Actinomycetes; Propionibacteriales; Propionibacteriaceae. The record is from RNAcentral.
CGAGUCGGCCGGGUGACCGCGGGCUAAGGCUUGAGGAAAGUCCGGACUCCACAGAGCGAGGUGGUGGGCAACACCCACCUGGGGCGACCCACGGGACAGUGCCACAGAGAACAGACCGCCUCGGCCCGCCGGGCCGGGGUAAGGGUGAAACGGUGGUGUAAGAGACCACCAGCGGCCCGGGCGACCGGGCCGGCUCGGUAAACCCCACCUGGAGCACGGCCGAGAAGGCCCCUUAGGGGGCCGCGUCGACGUUCGAGGGCGGCUCGCCCGAGUCGACGGGUGGGCCGCACGCCCGGCCCGGAACCGCUCCGCGGGACCGGGCCGCCGGGGCGAAGGCGUCUGGCAACAGGCGUCGCAGAUAGAUGGUCACCGGCCGCGAGGCCACAGAAUCCGGCUUACAGGCCGACUCGUCCA